This is a long non-coding RNA of Frankliniella occidentalis (western flower thrips), 927 nucleotides long. RefSeq lists it as uncharacterized. Lineage: Eukaryota; Metazoa; Arthropoda; Insecta; Thysanoptera; Thripidae. The record is from RefSeq and is a predicted model, not a curated record. The transcript has 3 exons.
AGCCGGUGCAACACGUCUACGCUUACCUGCCGAGGUUCCAACCCCCAUCUGCCUCCUCCGCCCAGCUCCAGAACGCUGUCGCCAGGGUGGAGGAGAGGUUGGCGCAGACGCGGGCUGCGGAGGCCGAGACCCAAGUGAUUGAUCCACUCCCACUGAAGCGGCGGCGCCGCCGAGGAGGUCCAGGUCGCAGCAGCAGGCAGCUGCCCAGGAACCUGCCCAGGCCUCCUUGAAUGAACAACGAGGGCGCAGGCGCAGGCGACGUCGGGGCGCACAAACCCAAGGAGGGCGUGGCGGCGGGCGUGGCCAGGGAGCUCGCGGCGGUCGUGGCCAGGAAGGUCAUCGUGGGUAGGGAGGACAUGGCCCCUGGAGGGGACCCCCGCGCGGGCCCUGGAGGGGAAAUCCAGCUGGAUUUUGGAGGGGACCCCCCGGGGUUUCUGGAGGGCGCCACAACGCUUUUGAAGCGGGGGGCUGCAAAGUGGCGCGAAGGCACUUGUCCAUGGACCGAUUGCUGCUCAGUCAUCAUGCAUCAAGCAGAGGAAGAGGAGGGUCUUAAUGACCCCAUAGAUGCCAUUUCUUCUCACAAAGGUCAACGACCACAUACUAAUAUCUAUGUGCUUGAUGGUUUUUAUUACUACAAAAACAGAGACAGAAAUGCAAGUGCAAGCACGACAGAAGUACUCAAAAGCAGGCCGCCUGCCCAGGCAAAAUGAAGUCAAAUGUUGAUGUCAAAUCUGAGACUGACAGAUGGCCACAACCACCCGGUAGAAUCCAACGGCAUUGAAAUACAGGAGCUGAGAAGCAGGCUCAUUGAUUUAUGCACGAAGCAACAUAAUGUGUCCAUGAACUGCCUCAUUACCAACUUUUGCAGAGGGUAAGUAAAUGACUUUUGAGAGCUGUUUAGGUUGUACUAGGGCUACGUAACGUAUC